This 748-nucleotide ribosomal RNA is filed under the name Draco melanopogon. RNAcentral's name for it is "partial large subunit ribosomal RNA". The stretch from base 285 to 505 matches the Rfam family "Archaeal large subunit ribosomal RNA", at positions 1789 to 2114 of the family's 2987-position model. Lineage: Eukaryota; Metazoa; Chordata; Lepidosauria; Squamata; Agamidae. The record is from RNAcentral.
CAACGUUAAACAGAGAGAAAGCCACCUAUUUUAACCAGUGGGCCUCAAAAAGCCAUCCAAAAAUAUAACGUUAAAGUAACGACUAAAAAAUAUCAACAGCACAUUCAUCCUCCUGUCCCACCCCCCAGCCACUCUAUGAUCAUAGAGGAGAUGAUGCUAAAACUAGUAACAAGAAUAAUUCUCCACGAACAAAAUUCUACCAUUACAGACCAAAUCCGGCAAUAUGAAAUGUAUUUCACACUCCAUUUUUCCCCCUGUAACACCAACUCAGGAUUGUUCACGGAGACCUACAGCCAAAAAAGGAACUCGGCAAACAUAACCUUUCCAACUGUUUACCAAAAACAUAGCCUUUAGCCAACCAGUAUUAAAGGUAACGCCUGCCCAGUGAAUAAGUACAUUUUAACGGCCGCGCUUAAACCGUGCAAAGGUAGCAAAAUAUUUGUCCUCUAAAUAAGGACCCGCAUGAACGGCAACAUGAGAAAGAACCUGUCUCUUUUGGCUAGUCAGUGAAAMUGACUGCCUGUACAAAAGCAGGCAUAAAAAAACAAGACAAAAAGACCCUGUGAAACUUAAAAUACCCUUCAACCCAAUGCAGGACAUUUUUCGGUUGGGGCAACCAAUGAGAAACAAACCUCAUAAAAUCACGAGACACACAAGCCUAAUAACUAUAAAGAUCCAGUACUACUGAUCUAAGGACAAAGCUACUCCAGGGAUAACAGCGCCACAUUCUUAAAGGUCCAUAUCAACA